RNAcentral lists this long non-coding RNA (603 nucleotides) under Equus asinus (donkey). RNAcentral's name for it is "lncRNA (ENSEASG00005038768.1)". Lineage: Eukaryota; Metazoa; Chordata; Mammalia; Perissodactyla; Equidae. The record is from RNAcentral.
UCUGCCUGCGGCAGUUCUCAACCUGCUUGCCGGAGAGGAGCCAAGGAAACUGCUCUUCCUACUUCCUCCUGCUUCAGAAGGUCAGGGCAGCUGGCCUUUCCCAAGCACCUCUGUGGACCCGGCCCAGCACUGUUCCCGAGAGCUCCCAGACUACAACCAAGUGAGAGCGUUAACUGACAACGCCCAGCCUCACUUCAUCCACACUAUGGCCCCACCAGAUGCCUCCAUUCUGCCUAUUUUUCACUCAACUAAUCAGAGCCAGGAUUUGAACCCAGAUCUGUGUGACUUCUUGUCUGGUGCUCUUCCACCCCAUUCCUGCCACGUGUGUGGCCAGGACACUGGGAGACCUGUAGGAGCUCAGCAGAGAGUUUCCUGGGGAUAGUUGUGGAGCCUUGCAGGAGGGCAGGCCAUGUCUGCAUGGGUUCUUUCAUUCAUUAAGUGCCAUGUGCUGGCACACCAGUGGUGGACAAAGCUAGCGUGAGCUCUCCCCAACUCUGAUAGGCAGAGAGGACAGAGUGGGUGCCAGCUGGAAGGGGAGCAAGGGGCAAAGGCACCUGCCCACUGUUGUGUGCCUGGGGAGCAGUUUGGAGGAAUGAGGCCAGG